This 484-nucleotide ribosomal RNA is filed under the name uncultured bacterium. RNAcentral's name for it is "partial 16S ribosomal RNA". It matches the Rfam family "Bacterial small subunit ribosomal RNA", at positions 30 to 507 of the family's 1533-position model. The record is from RNAcentral.
AUUGAACGCUGGCGGCAGGCCUAACACAUGCAAGUCGAGCGGAUGAAGGGAGCUUGCUCCUGGAUUCAGCGGCGGACGGGUGAGUAAUGCCUAGGAAUCUGCCUGGUAGUGGGGGAUAACGUCCGGAAACGGGCGCUAAUACCGCAUACGUCCUGAGGGAGAAAGUGGGGGGUCUUCGGACCUCACGCUAUCAGAGGAGCCUAGGUCGGAUUAGCUAGUUGGUGGGGUAAGGGCCUACCAAGGCGAGGAUCCGUAACUGGUCUGAGAGGAUGAUCAGUCACACUGGAACUGAGACACGGUCCUGACUCCUACGGGAGGCAGCAGUGGGGAAUAUUGGACAAUGGGCGAAAGCCUGAUCCAGCCAUGCCGCGUGUGUGAAGAAGGUCUUCGGAUUGUAAAGCACUUUAAGUUGGGAGGAAGGGCAGUAAGUUAAUACCUUGCUGUUUUGACGUUACCAACAGAAUAAGCACCGGCUAACUUCGUG